This 237-nucleotide unclassified non-coding RNA is filed under the name Hevea brasiliensis (rubber tree). Lineage: Eukaryota; Viridiplantae; Streptophyta; Magnoliopsida; Malpighiales; Euphorbiaceae. The record is from RNAcentral.
AUUUACCUUAAGCUUUCCUCUGUUUCUCUUAUAGUUUUCUCUGUUUUUGUAACACUUUGUCUCUUAUUUUGCCAAAUCUGCGGUCUCCCGCCCCAUUCCGGCAGGGGAGACAUUCCUCUCCCCUAUCCAGUAGUAGGUUCGGCUAUCCCCCUUCGACUGCGAUGUUUGUGUAUAAAUAAGUUUGGGUGAUUUUUGGCGGUAGAUGAUGCUGAUUUGAGACAGCCUUUUUUUUAUCUA